Molecule: ribosomal RNA, 1356 nt
Filed under: uncultured bacterium
Lineage: Bacteria
Description: bacterial SSU rRNA
Rfam family: Bacterial small subunit ribosomal RNA
Source: RNAcentral
CCUGGCUCACGAUGAACGCUGGCGGCGCGCCUAACACAUGCAAGUCGAACGAGAGAUGAGGAGCUUGCUCUUCAAAUCGAGUGGCGAACGGGUGAGUAACGCGUGAGGAACCUGCCUCAAAGAGGGGGACAACAGUUGGAAACGACUGCUAAUACCGCAUAAGCCCACGGCUCGGCAUCGAGCAGAGGGAAAAGGAGCAAUCCGCUUUGAGAUGGCCUCGCGUCCGAUUAGCUAGUUGGUGAGGUAACGGCCCACCAAGGCGACGAUCGGUAGCCGGACUGAGAGGUUGAACGGCCACAUUGGGACUGAGACACGGCCCAGACUCCUACGGGAGGCAGCAGUGGGGAAUAUUGCACAAUGGGGGAAACCCUGAUGCAGCGACGCCGCGUGGAGGAAGAAGGUCUUCGGAUUGUAAACUCCUGUUGUUGAGGAAGAUAAUGACGGUACUCAACAAGGAAGUGACGGCUAACUACGUGCCAGCAGCCGCGGUAAAACGUAGGUCACAAGCGUUGUCCGGAAUUACUGGGUGUAAAGGGAGCGCAGGCGGGAGAACAAGUUGGAAGUGAAAUCCAUGGGCUCAACCCAUGAACUGCUUUCAAAACUGUUUUUCUUGAGUAGUGCAGAGGUAGGCGGAAUUCCCGGUGUAGCGGUGGAAUGCGUAGAUAUCGGGAGGAACACCAGUGGCGAAGGCGGCCUACUGGGCACCAACUGACGCUGAGGCUCGAAAGUGUGGGUAGCAAACAGGAUUAGAUACCCUGGUAGUCCACACCGUAAACGAUGAUUACUAGGUGUUGGAGGAUUGACCCCUUCAGUGCCGCAGUUAACACAAUAAGUAAUCCACCUGGGGAGUACGACCGCAAGGUUGAAACUCAAAGGAAUUGACGGGGGCCCGCACAAGCAGUGGAGUAUGUGGUUUAAUUCGACGCAACGCGAAGAACCUUACCAAGUCUUGACAUCCCUUGACGAUGCUGGAAACAGUAUUUCUCUUCGGAGCAAGGAGACAGGUGGUGCAUGGUUGUCGUCAGCUCGUGUCGUGAGAUGUUGGGUUAAGUCCCGCAACGAGCGCAACCCUUAUGGUCAGUUACUACGCAAGAGGACUCUGGCCAGACUGCCGUUGACAAAACGGAGGAAGGUGGGGAUGACGUCAAAUCAUCAUGCCCUUUAUGACUUGGGCUACACACGUACUACAAUGGCGUUAAACAAAGAGAAGCAAGACCGCGAGGUGGAGCAAAACUCAGAAACAACGUCCCAGUUCGGACUGCAGGCUGCAACUCGCCUGCACGAAGUCGGAAUUGCUAGUAAUCGUGGAUCAGCAUGCCACGGUGAAUACGUUCCCGGGCCUUGCACACACCGCCC